UAGGGAAUCUUCCACAAUGGGCGAAAGCCUGAUGGAGCAACGCCGCGUGUGUGAUGAAGGGUUUCGGCUCGUAAAACACUGUUGUUAAGAGAAGAAUGACAUUGAGAGUAACUGUUCAAUGUGUGACGGUAUCUUACCAGAAAGGAACGGCUAACUACGUGCCAC
RNAcentral lists this ribosomal RNA (165 nucleotides) under uncultured bacterium. Its description in RNAcentral is "partial 16S rRNA". It matches the Rfam family "Bacterial small subunit ribosomal RNA", at positions 355 to 511 of the family's 1533-position model. The record is from RNAcentral.